GGUGAACGCUGGCGGUAGGCCUAACACAUGCAAGUCGAACGGCAGCACAGUAAGAGCUUGCUCUUACGGGUGGCGAGUGGCGGACGGGUGAGGAAUACAUCGGAAUCUACUUUUUCGUGGGGGAUAACGUAGGGAAACUUACGCUAAUACCGCAUACGACCUACGGGUGAAAGCAGGGGAUCUUCGGACCUUGCGCGAUUGAAUGAGCCGAUGUCGGAUUAGCUAGUUGGCGGGGUAAAGGCCCACCAAGGCGACGAUCCGUAGCUGGUCUGAGAGGAUGAUCAGCCACACUGGAACUGAGACACGGUCCAGACUCCUACGGGAGGCAGCAGUGGGGAAUAUAGGACAAUGGGCGCAAGCCUGAUCCAGCCAUACCGCGUGGGUGAAGAAGGCCUUCGGGUUGUAAAGCCCUUUUGUUGGGAAAGAAAAGCAGCAGGUUAAUACCCCGCUGUUCUGACGGUACCCAAAGAAUAAGCACCGGCUAACUUCGUG
This 492-nucleotide ribosomal RNA is filed under the name uncultured bacterium. Its description in RNAcentral is "partial 16S ribosomal RNA". It matches the Rfam family "Bacterial small subunit ribosomal RNA", at positions 28 to 507 of the family's 1533-position model. The record is from RNAcentral.